AUGAACGCUAGCUACAGGCUUAACACAUGCAAGUCGCGGGGCAGCAUGGGGGUUGCUUGCACUCCCCGAUGGCGACCGGCGCACGGGUGAGUAACGCGUAUCCAACCUGCCCUUCACCACGGGAUAACCCGGCGAAAGUCGGACUAAUACCGUAUGUUGUCCAUUGACGGCAUCCGAUUUGGACGAAAGGUUUGGCGGUGAAGGAUGGGGAUGCGUCCGAUUAGCUGGACGGCGGGGUGACGGCCCACCGUGGCGACGAUCGGUAGGGGUUCUGAGAGGAAGGUCCCCCACACUGGAACUGAGACACGGUCCAGACUCCUACGGGAGGCAGCAGUGAGGAAUAUUGGUCAAUGGGCGUAAGCCUGAACCAGCCAAGUAGCGUGCAGGAUGACGGCCCUAUGGGUUGUAAACUGCUUUUAUGCGGGGAUAAAGUGGCCCACGUGUGGGUUUUUGCAGGUACCGCAUGAAUAAGGACCGGCUAAUUCCGUG
Molecule: ribosomal RNA, 489 nt
Filed under: uncultured bacterium
Lineage: Bacteria
Description: partial 16S ribosomal RNA
Rfam family: Bacterial small subunit ribosomal RNA
Source: RNAcentral